This 497-nucleotide ribosomal RNA is filed under the name uncultured bacterium. RNAcentral describes it as "partial 16S ribosomal RNA". It matches the Rfam family "Bacterial small subunit ribosomal RNA", at positions 28 to 507 of the family's 1533-position model. The record is from RNAcentral.
GAUGAACGAUGGCGGCGUGCCUAAUACAUGCAAGUCGAGCGAACAGAUGAGGAGCUUGCUCCUCUGACGUUAGCGGCGGACGGGUGAGUAACACGUGGAUAACCUACCUAUAAGACUGGGAUAACUUCGGGAAACCGGAGCUAAUACCGGAUAAUAUAUUGAACCGCAUGGUUCAAUAGUGAAAGACGGUUUUGCUGUCACUUAUAGAUGGAUCCGCGCCGCAUUAGCUAGUUGGUAAGGUAACGGCUUACCAAGGCAACGAUGCGUAGCCGACCUGAGAGGGUGAUCGGCCACACUGGAACUGAGACACGGUCCAGACUCCUACGGGAGGCAGCAGUAGGGAAUCUUCCGCAAUGGGCGAAAGCUUGACGGAGCAACGCCGCGUGAGUGAUGAAGGUCUUCGGAUCGUAAAACUCUGUUAUUAGGGAAGAACAAAUGUGUAAGUAACUAUGCACGUCUUGACGGUACCUAAUCAGAAAGCCACGGCUAACUACGUG